CAAAGAAUAUUUCAGAUAGCUCUAGUGUACCAUUGUAUUUCCGCUUGGGAAGGAAAGAGUAACAACAUCCUUUUAUAUUAAUUUUAAUAAAUUAGUAACUAUUUUUGCCCAACAUUAAAAAUAUUAAAUAAAAAGUAAAUACCAUUUUAAAUAGUAGCUAGCCCAUACAAUCUGUUGAGAUAUAUGUAGGGCAAUGAUGAUAAACCCCAUACAUAGACCAUUAUGAGUCAAUGAGUGAGUCAUAUCUGAGCCUAAUAGGCUAUUUGUGUAAUAGGCUAUUCUAUAAUAGGCUAUCUAUGUAAUAGGCUAUUUGUUUAAUAGGGUCAUUUUGUAUAUAUGCUGAAGGGUCGUUUGUAAAAUGACCCGAAAACAUGCAAGAAACCAUAGAAAUUUAGAGAGAGAAAGUAGAGAGAAGGAGGAGAGUUUCG
This 428-nucleotide long non-coding RNA is filed under the name Nicotiana benthamiana. RNAcentral's name for it is "long non-coding RNA (NBEN_LNC012785)". The record is from RNAcentral. Lineage: Eukaryota; Viridiplantae; Streptophyta; Magnoliopsida; Solanales; Solanaceae.